UACGGAGGGUGCGAGCGUUAAUCGGAAUUACUGGGCGUAAAGCGCACGCAGGCGGUUUGUUAAGCUAGAUGUGAAAGCCCCGGGCUCAACCUGGGAUGGUCAUUUAGAACUGGCAGACUAGAGUCUUGGAGAGGGGAGUGGAAUUCCAGGUGUAGCGGUGAAAUGCGUAGAUAUCUGAGGAACAUCAGUGGCGAAGGCGACUCCCUGGCCAAAGACUGACGCUCAUGUGCGAAAGUGUGGGUAGCGAACAGG
RNAcentral lists this ribosomal RNA (252 nucleotides) under uncultured bacterium. Its description in RNAcentral is "partial 16S ribosomal RNA". It matches the Rfam family "Bacterial small subunit ribosomal RNA", at positions 524 to 776 of the family's 1533-position model. The record is from RNAcentral.